GACGAACGCUGGCGGCGUGCCUAACACAUGCAAGUCGAACGGACAGACGCUGCGCUUGUGGGGUGCUCGAUUGCGGAACGGGUGUGUAACACGUGAGUAACAUGCCCUUGUCUUUCGGAUAACUUCAGGAAACUGGGGCUAAUACCGCAUAGAAGCUCCUGCUGCAUGGUGGGGGAUGGAAAGUUUCGGCGGUUGGGGAUGGACUCGCGGCUUAUCAGCUUGUUGGGGGAGUAGGGGCUUACCAAGGCUGUGACGGGUAGCCGGCCUGAGAGGGUGGACGGCCACAUUGGGACUGAGAUAGGGCCCAGACGCGUACGGGAGGCAGCAGGGGAGAGUAUGGCACAAUGGGGGGAAGCCUGAUGCAGCAGCGCCGGGUGCGGGAUGCCGGCCUUCGGGUGGUAAACCGCUUUCGCCUGUGACGAAGCGUGAUUGACGGUAAUGGGUAAGGAAGCACCGGCUAACUACGUG
Molecule: ribosomal RNA, 468 nt
Filed under: uncultured bacterium
Lineage: Bacteria
Description: partial 16S ribosomal RNA
Rfam family: Bacterial small subunit ribosomal RNA
Source: RNAcentral